CUUGACAAAAACACAUGCAUUGAUGCUGAUUUUAUGCCUGCAUCUUUGCUGUGCACUACAAAAUGCUUACAUUCUCAGAAAACGGUCAAAACAAAACAAAAACUGGGGCACUGGGGCAGUACCCUUUCAAAAGGAAAGUGCAACUUUACAGUGGCAAUGGUGCAUACUGCUGGAAAAGUCACUUGCUUCAAGAUGAUGGAUGGACAUGUCCCAAUUUGCAUGUCUGGUGGUCAAACAUCUCAAUCAUGUGACAUUGCGUACAAAGAUGGGAUGACGUGUAUAAAGUGGCCAGCAGACAUCGAACUCACAUGUGUGAACGAUUCUGAUGAGAUGCAUAAGCUCAAUAUUGAAGAAAACAAGUGUGCCCAUGACCAAGAAUCUAUUAGUUGCAAUGGAGAGUACAAAUCUGAGCUUAGAAAUUCUGCAUCAACCCUGUCAUUGAGCAUUCUUCUAAUUACUACCAUUGUCCACUGGGUGUCACUAUGGCACUACUAAUAUAGUAAUAUAGUGUAUAGUUCUGAGACACAUUACUCAAACUUAAAAAUAAUAAUAACAAUAAUAAUGUGUUCGAAUAAACCAUUUUUAUAUAUAUAUAAAAAAACUAUGCAAUACUCAAUAAAAAUAAAAAUUUACAUUUUCACUUCAUAUAUACAUACAGUCAUGGCCAAAAGUUUUGGCAGUGACAUAAAUUUUGUGUUUUGCAAAGUUUGCUGCUUAAACUGUUGUGGUGUUCAUUCGCAUUGUUUCUAGAUUAUUGUGUAGAUUGAUCAGAUGCAUUUUAAAUUAAUUGCUAAAAGCUUAAUUGGCCAAAAAAAAUUACUUCAAAUUUCACAGUUUUUUUGGUAAACAUGGCCUUGUCCCAACUUUUUUGAGAUGUGUUGAUUUAAAAUCAACUUAUUUUUCCCUUAAAAUUAUACAUUUUCUCAGUUUAAACAUUUGAUAUGUCAUCUAGGUUGUAUUCUAAAUAAAAUAUUGAAAUUUGAAACUUCCACAUCAUUGCAUUCUGUUUUUAUUCACAAUUUGUACAGUGUCCCAACUUUUUUGGAAUCGGGUUUGUACAAGGAUUGGACAGCAGAAGACUGGUGCAAAGUUAUUUUCUCUGAUAAAGCUUCUCUCCGACUGUUUGGGACAUCUGGAAAAAGGAUUGUUCGGAGAAGAAAAGGUGAACGCGAGUCCUGUGUUGUGCCAAAAGUGAAGCAUCCUGAGACCAUCCAUGUGUGGGGUUGCUUUUCAACCAAGGGAGUGGGCUCUCUCAUAAUUCUACGUAAAAGCACUGCCAGGAAUAAAGAAUGGUAUCAAAACGUCCUGCAAGAGCGACUUCUUCCAAUGAUCCAUAAGCAAUUUGGUGAUGAUCCGUGCAUUUUGCAACAUGAUGGAGCACCAUGUCACAAAGCAAGAAUGAUCAAGAAGUGGCUCAAAGAUCAUUACAUUGAAAUUUUGGAUCCGUGGCCAGACAAAUCCCCAGAUCUCAAUCCCAUAGAGAACCUGUGGUCAGUCCUUAAAAGGCGCAUGGACAAGCAGAAGCCCACAAAUUGUGAUGAACUCAGAGAACUAAUAAGGCAAGAAUGGAUCGCCAUCAGUCAGGAUUUGGCCCAGAAACUAAUAUCCAGCAUGCCAGAGAGAAUUGCAGAGAGAUAAAGAACAAGGGUCAACUGUAAAUAUUGUAAAUAUAUAUAUAUUUUUGCCAAUAAAAGCUUUUAAAACUUAAAAAUAAUCUACAAAUACUGAAGCAGCAAACUUUGCAAAACACAAAAUUUAUGUCACAUCCAAAUCUUAAAGUGUGUACGUGUAUA
Long non-coding RNA from Cyprinus carpio carpio, 1793 nucleotides. The record is from Ensembl. NCBI's taxonomy places the organism in Eukaryota, Metazoa, Chordata, Actinopteri, Cypriniformes, Cyprinidae.